This 1129-nucleotide long non-coding RNA is filed under the name Zea mays. RNAcentral describes it as "long non-coding RNA (ZMAY_LNC001403)". Lineage: Eukaryota; Viridiplantae; Streptophyta; Magnoliopsida; Poales; Poaceae. The record is from RNAcentral.
AUUGGUAAGAGCAAAAUUUACAUUGUAUUUGAACCUCUCGUGUGACAAAACCUUAUACCUAAGGGCCAAACGUUUCGAUUUGCUCUAGCUGUACCACUGCGUCCGACGACAGACGGCCUGUUGCGAGGCGGGGACGUGUGAACUGAACAGACCCCGCCAGCCACCAUUCCACCAUUUGCCUCUUUGCUGCCCUCCAUAGUCGUCAUGAGCUGAAGACCCUCUCGCGGCUGGCGCAGUUGGAGGUUGGGCCACAGCGCUCGCCAUGAAUGCGCGUCGUCUCCGUUGGACCAUCAACCAUUUGCAAUUGAUGAGGAGACGAGACAGGAGAAACGGCGAGGGCAGUAGCUCGAGGUGUUCUGUAGCUGAAAGCUGCCGCGAAUCGACUGCCAUUAUUGGACGCCGUCCCUUGCCCGACUGAGAAUCGGGCGGCCGCGUGCACUGCACUGCACUGCACUACCGCCGCCCGCCAGGCGCCAGCCAACCUCGUGGUACAAAAUUCAUCCAGAAUUCGCACGAGGCCACCAGCUCGGCUCCGGCCUGCGAGGAUUUCAACAGAAACGAACUGUGAGCUUGUGAUUUGUGGUGAAGGCGACCAGACCAACCAAUAGAAGCGGGAGCGGGAGGGAGCCAGCCAGAGCCGCAACCCCCACCUGCACCAGCACAGCACCGGGCCACACCCACGUCGCAUCGGCCGCCACCUCCAACACAUCGCACCAAGCCCCAGCGCAUUAACUGAUCCCCCCCGCUUUAACUGAUCCCCGUAGCGCCCCAACCGCAACCGGCAACCGCCCCUCGCCGACUGCACGGACGGGGAAGCCUCCUGGAGAGUGGACUCCCUUUCCUUCUAUAAAUCCGGCUCCUCCCAAUCCAGGAUCUUCCCAGCCUCGCCGCCCCACCACCCCAGCAUUGCCUUACCUUGCCUUGCCUUGCCCUGCCCUCCAUUCCACCUCCACCUCGCCGCCCAAAUCCCCCCACCCAACAAUCCCCCAUGGGGUCGCAGGCCAUCGAGGCGCACCGCGCGGGCGCGGAGGUGUACCGCGGCGCGGCGCUGUGCGCGGAGAAGUCGACGGAGCUGCUGGCAGAGGCGCACCUCCCGCUGGGCCUGCUGCCGCUGGCCGACAUGGAGGAG